RNAcentral lists this ribosomal RNA (444 nucleotides) under uncultured bacterium. RNAcentral describes it as "bacterial SSU rRNA". It matches the Rfam family "Bacterial small subunit ribosomal RNA", at positions 29 to 506 of the family's 1533-position model. The record is from RNAcentral.
GCGAACGCUGGCGGCAUGGCUAAAGCAUGCAAGUCGAACGUUUAAAGCCCCUUCGGGGGUUUAUAGAGUGGCGCAAGGGCGAGUAACACGUUCCUACGUACCCCGAGGUCGAGGAUAGUCCAGGGAAACCUGGAGUAAUACUCGAUGUGGUCUUCGGAUCAAAGGCUUGCCGCCUCGGGAGCGGGGAACGUCCUAUCAGGUUGUUGGUGAGGUAACGGCUCACCAAGCCGAAGACGGGUAGCGGGUGUGAGAGCAUGGCCCGCCGCAUCGGGACUGAGACACUGCCCGGACUCCUACGGGAGGCUGCAGCAACGAAUCUUCCGCAAUGCGCGCAAGCGUGACGGAGCAAUGCCGCGUGCAGGAUGAAGCCCCUCGGGGUGUAAACUGCUGUCAGGGUUCAGCAACACAAUGAGCAGACCCAAAGGAAGGGCCGGCUAACUUCGU